UACGUAGGGACCGAGCGUUGUCCGGAAUCAUUGGGCGUAAAGAGCGUGUAGGCGGCCACUUAAGUCCUGCGUGAAAUCUUGCGGCUCAACCGCAAGCGGUCGUGGGAAACUGGGUGGCUAGAGUGCGGGAGAGGAGAGUGGAAUUCCUGGUGUAGCGGUGAAAUGCGCAGAUAUCAGGAGGAACACCGGUGGCGAAGGCGGGUCUCUGGGCCGAUACUGACGCUGAGGAGCGAAAGCGUGGGGAGCGAACAGG
Molecule: ribosomal RNA, 253 nt
Filed under: uncultured bacterium
Lineage: Bacteria
Description: partial 16S ribosomal RNA
Rfam family: Bacterial small subunit ribosomal RNA
Source: RNAcentral